This 398-nucleotide ribosomal RNA is filed under the name uncultured bacterium. Its description in RNAcentral is "bacterial SSU rRNA". It matches the Rfam family "Bacterial small subunit ribosomal RNA", at positions 28 to 429 of the family's 1533-position model. The record is from RNAcentral.
GACGAACGCUGGCGGCGUGCUUAACACAUGCAAGUCGAGCGAUGAAGCACCUUCGGGUGUGAAUUAGCGGCGAACGGGUGAGGAACACGUGAAGAAUCUGCCUUCAACUCUGGGAUAACUCCGGGAAACCGGGGCUAAUACCGGAUAUGAGCCUUGAUCGCAUGAUCGGGGCUGGAAAGUUUUUCGGUUGAAGAUGACUUCGCGGCCUAUCAGCUUGUUGGUGAGGUAAUGGCUCACCAAGGCGACGACGGGUAGCCGGCCUGAGAGGGCGACCGGCCACACUGGGACUGAGACACGGCCCAGACUCCUACGGGAGGCAGCAGUGGGGAAUAUUGGGCAAUGGAGGAAACUCUGACCCAGCGACGCCGCGUCGAGGGAUGAAGGCCUUCGGUUGUAAC